Molecule: long non-coding RNA, 32353 nt
Filed under: Gossypium barbadense (sea-island cotton)
Lineage: Eukaryota; Viridiplantae; Streptophyta; Magnoliopsida; Malvales; Malvaceae
Description: long non-coding RNA (GBAR_LNC011596)
Source: RNAcentral
UUAAUAGAUCUAUCAGUUAAUUGAAUACUCAUUCUAGUGGGUUUAGGUUCCCCAAGACCAAGUUGUUUAAACAUUUUAUAUGGCAUCAAAUUAAUGCUAGCGCCUAAAUCAGCUAGUGCCUUAUCAACAUUCAAACUACCAAUUAAGCAGGGAAUAGUAAAACUUCCUAGAUCUUUCAGUUUGGUUGGCAGUUUAUUUUGGAGUAUAGCUGAACACUCCUCAUUAUGUUCCACUGUAGAUAGGUCUUCAAACUUCCUUUUCUUUGUUAGAAGCUCCUUUAAAAAUUUUUCAUAUGUAGGCAUCUGUGAUAUAGCUUCAACAAAAGCUAAGUUAAUAUGCAGUUGUUUAAAAAGUUCAAGAAAUUUACCGAAUUGUGCAUCUAUACGGUCUUUCUUCAACUUUGCUGGAUAUUGGAUUGGUGGUUUAUAUUCCUUUGGCAUUGGAUUGUGAUUGUUUUCGGGUUUUACCUCCUCUUCUUUGUUUCUGUCAACUUUUAUGGUGGCUUCUUUUCAGAUUCAGCUAACACUUUCCCACUCCUUAGUGUAACUACUUUUACAUGCUCUUUUGGUUUGGGUUCAGUGUUACUAGGUAGACUUCCUGGUGGUUUUUCUGAUAUUAUCUUAACCAGCUACCCAAUUUUAUUCUCGAGUCCUUGGAUCGACGCUUGCUGAUUUUUAAGUGCAGUUUCAGUGUUCUAAAAAUGGGUUUCCGCUACUAAAAUAAAUUCUAAAAUCAUCUCCUCAAGGUUCGACUUUUUCUCCUGCGGGUAAGGUUGUUGUUGGAAGCUUGGAGGGGGUGGUGGCCCUUGAUUCCCUUGGCCUCCCUAUGAGAAAUUUGGGUAGUUCCUCUAUCCUGCAUUCUAAGUAUUACUAUAAGGAUUAUUUUGAGGUCGAGGAUUAUUACCCAUAUAAUUUAAUUUCUCGUUUUUGAUGUUGUGGCUAUAAGGUGGGUAUUCUGAAUUACUUGUUCCUCAUCCACUUGCAUUGCAUUGCAUUGCAUUACUGGGUGAACCUGUGAAGAACCAAGUAAACCAUCAAUUUUUCUAUUUAAAAGUUCUACCUAAUUAGAGAGCAUGGUGACCGAAUCGACGUUAAAAGUGCCAGCUGCUUUCAUUAGCUUUGUCCUCAUGACUUGCCACUGAUAAUUAUUUAGUGACAUCUCUUCUAUAAAUUCAUAAGCCUUAUCAGGUGUCUUAUUAUUGAUAGUCCCACCAGCAGCCGCAUCAAUCAUCUGUCUAGUCGAAAACAUUAGGCCAUUGCGAAAAGUUUAAACUUGUAUCUAGAGUGGUAACCCAUGGUAAGGGCACAUUCUCAAUAUAUCCAUGUAUCUCUCCCAUGCAUCAUAGAGUAACUAAAGGCGAAUGGCAUCAUCAGAAACACCAUUAAUCUUAAAUGUGUCACAAAACUCUAGAAAGUUUGCCAAAUGAGCAUUUGGAUCCUCGUCCUGCAAAGCAUCAAACUAAAAAAAUUAUUGUAUCAUUUGAAUCGUGUUAGGUUUCAAUUCAAAAUUAUUUGUAGCAACAGCAGGUCUAACUAUACUCGAUUCGGUUACUGUUAAAUUAGGUUUAGCAUAAUCAUACAUAGUACGAGGAACAAGAUUCUGAUUUAUUGGAUCUGCAGCAACCACAGGAGGAAGCUGAUUAUUUUGAUUUUUAGCCAUCUCCUCGGUUGUAUUAUGGAUAUCUUCCUCUUGUCCUUCCUCUAUGUUUCUUAGGUUUCGCCUUAUUUCUCUUCAAUUUUUGCGAGCUGUGCUUUCAAUCUCACUGUCAAAAAGUAAUGGUCCUGACAGAUUUCUUUUAGUCAUAAACUAUAAAACCUGUCAGAAGAAAACAAAAGAAAAUUUAGAAACAAAAACCAAAAUAAAAUUUAAAUUGCAAUAAAAUAAAUGGCUAAAGUAAUAAAAAUUAAGUGUUCCUAAUAUCUUAGUUCCCCGGCAACGGCGCAAAAAACUUGAUUGAUGUGAAUGGUGAUAAGUUUUAAAUUUAUGAUUGAUCGUUUUUGAAAACUAAAUAUUAUCACGAUGAAGGAAAGCGCACCUAUUGAACAGUAGUAUAGUGUAUAGCAAGACCGGGAUGUCGAACCCACAGGAACUAAAAGUACUAGUAUUAACUCUCUUCUUAUUAUCUAGCCUUAAAAAAUAAAAGGGGUUUGUUUUAUCUAAAUUAAUUAACUAAACUAAGAACGCACAGGAAGAAAUUUGGGCAAAUACUUUUGGGAAAAACUGAUUGAUUUGGACAAUACCUAAGGAAAAAUCGACUUAGACUUCACUUGUUAUUUGACUCUAAAUCAAACGAUUUAUUCACUUGACUUGAUCCGUAGAAAUCCCAAAGUUAUAUUAUUAUCUCUCUCGAGACUAACAAUGUCUAACCCUAGGUUGAUUAAUUGAAAUCUCUUUCUAAUUAAAACCCCUAGUGUUGCAUUAACUCGAUCUAUGGAUUCCCUUAUUAGGUUUCACCCUAACCUAGCAAAAUUAUGUCGCCCUAUGUCUAGAGGUGCAAUCAACUCUGCUUAAUUAUGCUAGGUCUACUCUUAGACAGGGACUUUUGCUCUUCUGAAUAAGCACAUCAAUACUUGAAUCAAUAUCCUGGAAUAUUAAAGCAAGAAUUAAGAAUUCAUAAUUAAGAACAAGUCAAAUAUUUAUCAUAUAAUUCAGAAAAUAAUAACAAGAUUCAUCUUAGGUUUCAUUCCCCUUAGGUAUUUAGGGGAUUUAGUUCAUAAGUGUAAAAGAAAACAUCUCAGAAGAAUAACAAAACAUAAAGAAAACUCAAAAACUCCUGAAGGAAAUUGAAGGGAGAUCUUCAGUCUUGAAGGGGGAUCCAACUUCUGAGAUGGAUCAAUCGGCUUUUUUCGAGUAAUCCCUUACCUCCUACUCCGUACGUGUCUUUCAGGUAUCUCCCGGGGUGUUUAUAUAGACUUUAGAAUGCUUCUAGACCCUCAAGAGUGGCCUUUUUUGAAUAAGACUAGACUUGGGCUCGACAGGGACAUGCCCGUGUGACACACCCGUGUGAGGUGGCUUAGGCUGUGUUGCAAUCUCUUAAAUAGACACGGGCGUACGAACUACCCAUGUGAGGAAGUCCAGGCCGUGUUGAUUUCCUACGUUGACCCAUUUUCUUCGUUUUUGGCCCGUUUCUCGCUCUUUUUACUCUUCUAUGCUCACCUAAGUAUAAAACAUGAAAUUGAAGGGUUAGGAGCAUCAAAUUUCACAAAUCUAAUGAUAAUUCAUCCAAAAAUGUGCUUAAGCAUGGGAUAAAAUAUAUAUAAAUUAUGACAUAUCAUGUUUAUGUAAAUAUUAUGAAAAAUAUUUUGUUUAUAUAACCAACUUACAUAUUGGUAUGAGAAUAAGGUAUAAUUGUAAUGUUAGUAUGAGUGAUAUAUGCACAUAUUUAUUUGAAUUGUAGUGAACAUUACUAACUUUAUUAGGUAAAUUAAUUAGGUAAGUUUGGAUACCUGGUUGACAUGUUUUUAAGUUGUCAUUUGAGGUGCCUAAGGGCAUAUUGGUUGUAUGUGGUGAUCAUACGAAUACCUUGUUAUGGCUUGUUGAUGUGCUAUUUGUUGAGUCUAGGUUGAUGUCAAUUUAGGUGAGAAUUGUGGCUUGAAAAAUGACCUAUUUUUGUCCACAUGGACAAAGAUACAGGUGUGUGUCUCAGCCGUGUGUCACACACGGCCAAAUGACACGGUCCUGCAUCCCCUGUAUUUUAUUGAUAAUGCAAGUCAAUAUGCUUACACGGCCUAGCAAAUGGGCAUGUGACUUGGUCGUGUGACCCAAGUUAGAGAGUUACACGGGCACAGACACGACCGUGUGUCCCUAUUUCGGAUGCUCACACGACCUUAAACACUGGCAUGUCUCCUGACUGUGUGAGUCACACGGCCGUAUGACCCCUGUAGCUUUGAAACUUUUCUACGUUUUUAGAAAAAUUCUCUAAGUUUCUAAUUUAGUCCCGACUUAUUACUAAUGUGUAUUUCGAGUCUUGAGGGCUCAUAUAAAGAACAUUAUAUAUUAUUUUUGAUUGGUUUUAUUAUGAAUAUUAAUAUGUAAUGAAACGUUUGAAAUUUCUGUCUAAUUGAUUCGUAAACCCUGAUAAUGCUUUGUAAUUCUAUUUCGGUGACUGAUAGGGGUUAGAGGUAUUACAAUUAGUGGUAUCAGAGCUACGGUUUAGUCGAUUCUCAGAUUGAACGUAGCUGUGAAAUGUCUAGAAUUACAUGCCAUAUAAAUUUGUGAUAGUGUGAUGUGCAUGAUCUGAUCUAACCUUCUUUUUUUUAUAGAUUGUAAAGAUGUCAAACCGAUCUGAUCGUGCUGACAAUGAUGAAGUUAAUAGUAAAGUAUCGACUUCUGAACAUGGGAUGAGUAGUAAUGUCCCGAUUCCUCUGGCUCAGUAGCAUGAACUUAAAAAUAUGUUCUUUGGGUAUAUGAACCAGUGGUUCAGCGAGUUUAGGCUAGAAAAAAAUCCGGCUCAACAACCUCCACCCCUAUUUAUAAUGACUUGAUAGUCACGGGUAUUGAAAAGUGUAUUUUUGAGUCUCCAUUUUCGUAAAUAUUAAAAGUAAUUAGGAAUUGGUUAAUUAGGUCUUAGUUAGGUGAAUUUGCAUGAAUUAAGAGUAAUUAAGCAUAGAGACUAAAUUGCAUAUAGUUUGGAAGUUGAAUUAUAGAUUAAAGAAAAUAAAAAGGGCUAAAUAAACAAUGUAACCUAUUUUUAACAAGUGUAUGGAGUUGGUGUUUACAUGUGUAAAAAUAAGAUACAUAUGUAUAAAAUACAUAUGAAUAAAAUAAUAAAUUAUACUACUUAAUACUUAAGAAUAUAUAUUAUAUAAUAUUAUAUUAUUAUAAUAAUGAUAAAAUAAAUAAACAAAACAAACAAAAGAAAAAAAUAGAAAAGGAAAUAAAGUUAAAAUGAAAUAGAGAAGAAAAAGAAAGUUCAAAGCUUAAUUGGUAGGUCAAUUUAGUGCCUUUUCUUAUAAUUUUUAUGUUUUUGAAAUCCUGGUAUUAAAUAUUGCUUAACCUGUGUCAAAAUUUUUGAAAAUAUUGAGUUUUUAAAUGUUGUCUAUGUUGAAUAAUUAGAGUAUAAGGGACUAAAUUGAUAGAUUUUUAAGUUAGAAGUGAAAAAAGGACUGAAUUAUCGAAUAAAUUGUAAAUUUUGAGUAUUAGGGACUAAAUUGUGAAAAUUUUGAAAUUUAUGGAUUUAAAUGAAAUUAGAGAGUUGAAUUUAGUUUAAAGUAGAAAUUGAAUGAAUGUUAAAAAUAUAGUAUACUCUGUUAAUUGAGUUAGCUAGCCUAGCUAUUAGUCUUCUACUGUUAGUUUGUUACUCAAUCAGUUAGGUUGUUAGCCAUAGCAGUUACUAUAUUGUUCUAUAAAUAAUAAUCUCUAUAAUGUUCAUGUGAAGGUAACAAGUUUAAUACAUAUUUCUAUACUCAGCAGUGCUUAUUCAUAGUUUACUGUAGUUGUUAACAUGGUAACAGUCACCUAAAAGGUUCUGGAAACCUACCUCAAUGACCACCGCUUUUAACGCCUCCAUGCCCGAAACCGUCACCGGAGUCAAGCUUGAGGUGUUACUAAACUUAUCUUAUCUUUUAAACAACUCUAAACCACUUAUUUUAAUUUUCAGAAUAAACUAUUUUUAUGCAUCAUGGUUGCUUAAAAAUUCAUUUCUCGAGUUUCAAAACUCGAAAUUAAGAUCCGUAAAUUUUUCCUAAAAAUAGACUCAUAUAUAUAUCUAUUAAUUUUUUUCUAGAAUUUUUGACUUAGCCAAUUAGUACAAUUUACUAGUUAAAGUUACCCCUGUUUCAGAAUUCGACUGCACUGACCUCUACUUACUACGAACCACUUUUCUCCCUGCACAACAUUCAUAUGACUAUACCGUUUGUUUCUAUUAAAACUAGAUUCUAACCAUAUAAAGUAAACCACCUAAUUAUUUUUGUAAAUUUAUGGUGGAUUUCCAAAGUUGGAACAGGGGAUCCAGAAAUGGCUCUGGCCCUAUUUCACUAAAACUCAGAUAUCUUAUAAAAUACAAAACCUUUACCUGUUUUGCUUAUUCCAUAUGAAAAUAGACACAAUGAGCUUUAAUUUCAUAUAUUAUUCACCAUCAAACCAUGUCUCUACAAUUUUUUUGUGAUUUUUCAAAGUCACGUUAUUUCUGAUACUUGAAUCCGUUUUUAAGUUACUUUCACAUUUUUCAUAGUUUUCAUGUGAUAGUUACUACUUAAUCAUACAUACUAUUAAACAUGUAUAUCAUCAGCCAUUCUAUUAGAUAAUCACUAGCAAGUAUUUACACAUCAUUCAUUGAUCAUAUCAUAUCAAAAGAAACCAAGUUCCUAUACAUGCCAUACACAAAACGAAACGUCUAACUAUACCAAUGUGAUUUCUUCGAUAGUGUGAUCGGGUCUCCGACGUUUCCUUCGAUCCCCGAGUGGCUUGAUAAAAACUAUAAGAAAAAGAAAAUAAAGAGAGUAAGCACUAGGCUUAGUAAGGUUACAAGCAAAUAAAUUACAACAUUUAACAUAAUGAACAAUUAUACAUAAUGUCACCUCGCCUCAUAAACUUUCUUUACUUCUCAUUUUCUACCUUUUUCUUUACUCACUUACCUUCUUUCUUACCUGACCUUUCACUAUUCAUAAAUAUAAUCUACCUUCCCUUUUGCUAAUAAUUCACUGUAAUUUAACGUGUACAAUGACCCGUUGAACCACUCGAAAUACUAAGGAUACUAGGAUCGUUCCUGUCUAUCAAUAUCUUGCCAAUGCCAUGUCUUUGACAUGGACUUACAUGAAUUAUUCCUGUCUCCAAUGCCAUAUAUAUAUAUAUAUAUCUAAUAUGGGCUUACAUGGCUCAUUCCUGUCUCCAAAGCCAUAUAUCUGAUAUGGACUUACAUGGCUCAUUUCUGUCCUGUCUUGUCCUGUCAACCCCAAAAUCCUAACAUUCCUAAGGCUCAAACGGGGCUUCCUAAUGCUUUUUCUCUGUCACUUCGCCUUUAAUUCGACUUUAAAUAUUCUCAAAAAAUAAGUAUAUAAAUGCUGGAAAUUGACAAUAAUAAUGUAAAAUAAAAUAAUAUUGCAUUUAUUUACUGUAAACUUACCUCGAUACAAAAUGUGACUAAACUUUACAAUUUAGUCCUUUACUUUUUCUUUUCCCCGAUCUACUCCCGAAUUUCGCUCUUCUUGAUCUAUAAUAGAAAUUUUAACUUAUUUAAUAUUCACAUUUAUCAAAACAGUCCUUGACCCAAAAUUUGGCAAAAUUAUAUUUUUCCCCUAAACUUUCACAUAUUUGCACUUUUUCCCCAAGGCUCGUAAUUUAAAUUUCAUCCUAUUUUAUUAUGUUUUAUGACAUGCUGAUCCUUUUUCCCUUCUAUGACAACAUGAAUUCACACUCUAACAUGUACUUAUGACUAUUAGGUAUUUUUACCGAUUAAGCCCUUUUACUCGUUUUCACUUAAAACCGAGUAGCACAAGUUGUUUAACAUAAUUUAAAACCUCAUAUUAUAUCAUAAAACAUCAAAAUAAACACUUUUCACCUAUUGGUAUUUUUCCAAAUAUGAACCCUAACUUAAAUUAUUGCUAGCAUAAGCUUUAUCGAGCUACCGGGACGCCGAAAACGUAAAGAACAUUAAGAAUGGGGCUUGGAAUCACUUACUAUGGAGCUUGAAAGCUUGAAAAAAAUCGUAGCUAUGGAGAACCCUUGAAAUUUCGUGCUAAUGAAGAAGAUGAUGAAUUUUGUGUUAUUUUUCCCUUUUUAUUUCAUUUAAUAUCCAAAUGACCAAAAUGCCCUUCCUUAUUAAACUUUCAAAAAUUCCAUCCAUGUCCUAUUUUGUCCAUGAACUUAGAAAUUGGUCAAAUUGUUAUUUAAACCCUCCUAAUUAAUAUUCCAAAGCAAUUUCAUACUAAAAACUUCUAGAAUGCAAGUUUUGUAAAUUAUUCGAUUUAGUCCCUAAUCUCAACUUAAGCACUUUAUUCAUAGAAUUUCAUCACGAAAUUUUCACACAAUCAUGCAAUCAUAUCAUGAACCUCAAAAUAAUAAUAAAAUAAAUUUUUCUACCUCGAAUUUUUGGUUUCACAACCACUAUUCCGUUUAGGCCCUAUUUCGGGAUGUUACACCGCUGCCUCUACAGAUUCAGCCGCCGUUGAUCUUGGAUGUCCAGUGUUUACUAGUCCUAGACUAUUAAGUUGUGUAAUGGGCCAAAUCUGCCCGGGCCCAACAACCAAAAACCAAAAUUAAAAAACAAAUAAAAAUUAAACCAAAUUAAAUGUCCACAAGUCCAAAUUACAGAACCCAAUUUCAAACCCAAACCAAAAUUUUAAACCCAAAAACUGAAAUAAUCUUAGCCCAAUACUCAAUGGCCCAACAACUAAUAAAGCCCGAUAGGCCCAAUCCUUUGAAAGUUCUUAGGAACCCUAACCCUAGCCCCAUUCGCUUGGCGCCGCAGUAGCUUCCAGCAUCCUCCAGCACUACCAUCACUCGUGCCUCCAAGUCGACACAACCGUACCACCUCCGUACACCGCCAUGUACCUGCAAGCAGACAAGCAGACAACAGCAAAAUAGAGACAAAAAAGGAGUAGAUUUUUGUAUUCUUUUUCUUUUUUCUUCAUUUUUUUGCUUUCGGCUACAAAAAGCCAAAGCCAAAGAAUGUAAUCAAAGGAGGCACACUUCGCAUAUUGUAAUAGAGAAAAAGGCUAUCAAAAUCAAGAGGUGAUUUCCGAUUUAGAUCGCUGGGCAUUUUUUUAUCUAUAUAUAUAUAUUUCUUUUUUCUUUCUCUUCGGCUUUAUUCUUUAGUUCUUGUUGUUUUUUUUUUAUUUGAAGACACGAAUAAAAAAGGCGAAGGGCUUACCUUUGCGAACACGCCAUCGAAGUCCCUAGUUCCUCCGUCGAGAUCGGAGUUAUAGAGGGGAUUUUGGGGCUAAAAUUGGCGGUCAUUGAGAGGGAUCCAAGCGGGGUUAACGAGCGAACAUAUCACCCUCCGUCGAUCACCGUUUGGGGUGGUCAAAUGGCGACUAGGGUCUUUUGAGGCCUGGUGCUAAAGAGGGGUGAAAAUCGGCCAAAUAAGAGAAGGUAUGGGGGUAUUAGGGUUUAGCUUUAAUGGAGGCUUGAAGAAAUGGCCGAUUGCCUCUCAAUCCCCUGCUAUUGUGGAUUAAAAAUGAAACGGCGCCGUUUUAGGGGAAGGGACCCGCGCAUUAACCUGUUCCAAGACUCGGAUCCGCGCUUUUGCGUUUAAAAUGGGUUAUUUGUGCAGCAGGUCCUUCCUCUUUGCACUGCAUUAUGAUUAGCUCCCACUCGCAUCUGAUUUGUUUUGAUUUCUUUUGAAUUUUUCCCAAAAUUUGAGCUUUUUUGCAUUUUAGCCCGUAUCUCAACGCAGUGUUUCGGGAUCGGGGAAAUUAUCAGCUUUGGUCCCUCUGAAUUUGCGCAUGUUGCGCAUGGGUCCUUAUUUUAAUAUUAGUAGUUUGUUUUAUUUAUAUAUUAGCCCUUUCAUUCUAAUUUCAUUUUAAUUAGAUCCCUUUGAUUUGUAUAAUUCAUUUUUUAUUAUUCGCUCUAUUUUUUCUAUAAAUGUAUACUUUUUUUUUCUGAGUUUUUAAGAUGAUUUUGCCCUUUUGACAUAAGAUCUUUAUUUCAAAUUUUUUAUCAUGUUAUUUUAAAAUGUUUUUUUGUAUAAUAUAUCCUUUAAAUGUUUUUAUAUACUAUUAAAUACAUGUAGUUCAUGAUAAAGUUGGAUUUUAUUCUAUAUAUCUUAUUAAAUCUAUGAUUACUUCACAUAUAUUAUUUCUUUCGAAUCUAUUUGCAUAUAUAUAUAUCAAAACCUUAUGUAUAUAAAACAUAUUUUAUCAUUUUUUUUGUUUUUAAAAAACCUUUCAUAUUUUUGAAUAUUCUUUAUUGUAUGUGUAAGUUUAUUUUGAUAUUUCAUUUUAAAAAAACAUUUUGCACAUUUUUUGAAUUAUUGUAUCAUAUAAUCAUUUUAAAAUUUUCUUCAUGUAAUUUUAUGUUUAAAAGAUUCAUAUAAUAUUUUAUCUUCAUAUAUCAAUAUUCAUAUAUACAUAUACAUAAUUUAUAUCGAAUUACUUAUUUAAAUCCUCUCUUGAAUAUGUUCAUAUUUUUUUUUACUUAUAUAUAUUCUUUAUUUCUUUUAAAUCCAAUCUUGGUAUUAUAUAUAUUUUGUUUGUUUCAAAUGUUUUCCUAUAUUAUUAUUAUCCUCUUGUAUAAGCUUUGUUUAUAUUAAGCUUUUUAUUUCAUGAACAUUAAUUAUUGUGGGUGAACAAAUCUUGCUUCAAAUUAUUUUUGUACAAUCACUAGUUUCAUAUUACAUAGUUAGUAUUUCAUAUACAUUCUUUUAAAUACUUUUAUACGGUUAUACCCAUAUAAUCUAUUUAUCUUAAAACUUUCUAACAUGUAUGCCAUUGGUUUAAAAUUUAUGUUGACAUCCAUUACUAUAUUUAUGUAUAUUAUAUAUAAUCGAUAAAUUUUGGGUUUAAAUCGUUUUGUAUAGUCUUCUUUCCAAAAUUCUUCUUAUAAUACUAUUUUUUGAAAUUCAUUUAUAUGUUAAAGUUUAUAUAUUAUUUACUCUAUAUUUUUAUUGUUUGAUGAUUUAACUCAAAUUUUUAUGCGUAUAUACAUAUUCCUGGUUUCUAUAAAAUAUUUCGAAUCAUAGCAUAUGCUAGCUUUUAUGAUAUAUUUAUUUUAUAUCAUGCUUUGUAUAUUAUUGUGGCAUGUUAUUGUGUGCAUUGACUUGGUUGUGUUGAAUUGUUAUAUUACUAUUUUUGUCAUUGUAUUAUCAUAUCAAUUAUUUCCCCUGCAUGAUCGUAAUCGGGUUAUAUUUUUUAGGUUAGUUAUACCUAAUUAUUAGUUUGUUAAUUGAUGGUAUCUCAUGUGUAUAUUAUCCCAUAUCAUUGUUUUCCACUUGGUUUACGAAAUAUGGUUUUAUAAAAUCUAAAUUUUUAUGAUUAGUUUCAUCUUAUUUCGAGUUGAAUUAACGCGCUUUAAGCUAGUUUUAUAAUCAUUCAUGUUUUCUAAAAACCCUUUAAAACUAAGGCAAUGCUCGAUGUUUAGAAAUUCGAGGAAUCGUGCCCUACUGUGCUGGGUUUCGAUUUUACGUUGGACUCAAUAAUCGGGCAUCCGUUUGUAAUCUUCAACUUCUAAACUUUUGGAAAUAAAAAAUUUAUCGUGUUCUCGAGGGUUUAACGGAUUGUGUCCUAUCAUGCUAGAUACGAUGCUAUAUUCCCUCAAAAUGAGAAGACUUUGACAACCAACUCGUGUUAUUCAAAUGUUAAUAAAAAGAACCACAUUUCAAAAAUAUUUUUAAUUUUAGACAUAAGGACAGUAUUUAAUUGAUUUGGUACCAAUUUUGGGCGUAGUAAGGGUGCUAAUCCUUCCUCAUGCGUAACCGACUCCCGAACCCAUUUUCUCAUAUUUUUGUAAGACCAAAAUCGUUGUUUUAAUAAAAGGAAAUAUUUUAUUAAAAUAACCAAACUUCUAGGUGAUCCGAUCACACUUAAACAAAAAGAUCGGUGGCGACUCCGUUUUCAUUUUUCAAAAAGUUGAUUCCCCAUUUUUUCGUUAAAUUUAAAAUUUAAAAAAAAGGUUCGACAGCUUGGCGACUCCACUAGAGACUAGAGAGUCUAGCCAUAAAAUCGAUUAUUUGUUGUCCUUUUGUCGAAAUAUUGAAAAUUUGUUAUGAAAAUCAUAAUUGCAUUUGUUUCUAAUAAUAUUGCAUUUCAUUGCAUGACUGCUGUGGUCACAUCGUGAGGUUUUCACCUCCGCAUGGGCUAGUGGAUUGCUUCCAGGGUACAUCCACACCUAUGAUUUCGUGAGAUUUUCAUCUCCGCAUGGUCAUAGGGAAAUGUAUUCCCCUGAACUGAACUCAAUCUGUAUGAGCCUAUAAUGGGUGAGGAGCGAGGAAUCUUCUGGUUCGAGUACCCUUACUCUAGAACCAAGCCACAUAUGGGGAAACCUAGGAGCUUACCCUAGGUAGAGCCACUCCGAACCUCUAGUGAUCACCCGAAUAGGUGCUUUAUUUGCCAUGUAUUUCUCCUAUACUAACGUAUUUUGUUUUGGUUUUGUUGAUGACUGCAUUGCAUUACAUCUUCAUAGAAAUGAGGUGUGGAUUCAUAUUCGAUUACUAAAUAGAAUAGUUUUUCAUAAGAAAACGAAUUUCUUGAUAAAGUGGAUUACAAUACGAUUGUCCGAAUAUGGUCCAAGUGAACGCGACAAAAGAAGGCUAACAGUUCGUGGAGAAAAACAAGACUUUUCCUAAAGAUUCAAGCUGAUAAAGAUUAUCCAAAAGUCGUCGCGUCCCGAAUUUCUUAAAGGAGCUAAUCAACAUUGCGAGGAUAAUAAUUCGUGGCCUGGAUCAAGCAAAAAGGAGCUAAUAGAGGCAUGUAGAAAGCUUGCGAGAUUUGACUUUCACGAAGACAGGGGAUCAGUGCCUUCCCCUGGAAUAUGAAAGCAAGGCCGUGUAUGUAAUCCGUUUUAUGUAAAAGAAUUUAUUUUCUAGAAAAGUUGUUCUAAGGGAAUUGAAAAUCAACCUCUUUCUUUCCUUUACAUUCAUCCCAUGCAUUUUCAUUGCAUUGCAUCAUUUGCAUUGCAUUGCAUCAUUUGCAUUAAAUUUUCCCAAAAGGACCCUAAUUAGGUAAAAUUAUUUCAGAACCAACAAAGAAUAUGGACCAAAGAUUGGAGAGAAUAGAGAAAAGGUAAAUACAGAUGCAAGAGCAAUUGAUUAGAAUCCAACAAGAUAUGCAAGAACAAAUGCUAGAACUCCAAAGAAAUAUGAUGGGUCAGUUAACCCAGUUACUGGCUGGAGAAUUUGAAAAAAGGAGUGGCCCAGUGAUCAAUAGUGAGGAUAAUAAUGAAGAGAUCAUCUAUUCCCCAGGUUUUACCCCGAUAAGUGUCCUGACCCAACCAGACAUGCAAGGGGUACCCGUUGUUAUCGGGCCCCAAUAUCAGACGGAUACAUCGGCACUGUUGAGCUUCCUGAUGGGUUCAGGUUUUAACUCGGAAGAUGAUCGAGCUAAACCAGUUGUUCUGAAAGAAAUGAAUGAAUGGGGAGAAUGGACUUUAAAGGCCCCAAAGAAGAAAGAAAAGAAAGCAAAUAGUACGAGUAGAUAUAACAAGGGUCGUUCGGAGUCGAUUAUAGUGAGCCAGCCAAGGUCGUAACUACCAGCCUUCAAGCCUCCUAAAGGCAAGAACCCAAUCAAAGACCAAACUCGGAAAAACCCCAAUUCACGCCCAUUCCAAUCACAUACAGAGAGUUGUACCACGUUCUGUUUGACGCACAUAUUGUAUCCCCUUUUUACAUCAAACCUAUACAACUCUCAUACCCUAAAUGGUACGAUACAAGUGGCCAAUGUGAAUACCAUGCGGGAAUCACGGGGCAUUCCAUCGAGAAUUGUACCGCUUUUAAAAAGCUAAUCGAAAGAUUUAUUAAAUUAGGUAUCGUGAAAUUCAAUGGUCCCUCUGGAGUAAGAAAUCUGUUAUCUAACCUUUCUGUUAAAGAGGUGGACAUUAUGAGUUCCAUGAUGGAUAGGGGCAUGAGAUGUAAGGGUGAAUCAAGCUCAGGACUCUAAUGCAAGACCUGGUAUUGGGGAAUCCAAACAUUAACGAUGUAUCAGAAGAGGAAACCCGGGAGUAGACUUUUCUAAGCUUCUGCCCUUACGUACUUAGGGUGUUUUAAACAAUGGGACUGUGAAAGAGAUCCUUGUAUUUUUAGAGCUAAUCUAGAGUAAUAUUCAAAACACACUUGUUGUUUUAAGCCUAGAAGCAACAAGAAUCCUUUUGUGAAAUAGGCUUAUAUCCAAAAUCUUUAUUUCAAUGAAAUACAUGUUUGUUAUCUUUUUGAGUAAAUAUUCUUUUAUUCUUUCCAUUUCAUACUGUACAAACGAUUUAUUCUUUCAUUCAUGAUCAUACCAUACAAAUAAUCAUCCUUAGAAUCAUUUAUUCUUUGGAAUCUGCCUUCGUACCUACAGCAGGUCUCCAGAUGUCAAUGACGUGAGCGACGCUGUCACUAAUUCUGAGUCUCAUUUUGAGCAAGAUAUGUGUCUAGAGGGAUCUCAGGACCUUGAAGAUGAUACAGACUGUAGCCUAUCUCCUGAUUUGUCAAGGAUGGUAGAACAAGAUGAGAAAUAGAUCCUACCUUACAAAGGGGCAAUGGACGUAGCGAACCUGAGAGAAGAGAAAGAGAUAAAGAUUGGAGUGUAUAACACCACAGAGACAAACCGAGAACACAUGGUUUUACGUUAGCCAGGCUAAUCAUGAGGUUCGAGUACUACUGAUCCAACAUGGAAGAGGAUUGUAUCAGUCAGGCUGUGAAUGCUAAACGAAAGAAGACAAGACUUUUAUGCCUCCUUAAUUUCUUCACAGAUUUUCUAUAUGCGGGGCAUGGAUAUUAUGGGGCUGAUCUCGUCAAAAGCUUCUAACCUAUACCGAUUCGUCUUUGAGGUCGUCGAUUACUUCAUGGAAAGGGUGAAAGUCAUUUCAUAUGCCAAUGUUACUAAGUCGAUAGUCAUCAAACUCAAAAAAAAAGAGAGAGAGAUUAGGUGCCAAUGAAGAUCGUCAGAAAGAUUCAAUGUCAGAAGUUGACAAUCUGUUCAAAGAUUAGAUGCCAUAUCAUAAUGCAGCAAAAAAUCGUGGAAGAUAAUCGAGGCUUGUAAAGAUUGGCAUAAAGAAGUUACCAUUUACCCUCUAUACUUAUCGAACACCGGCCAGAACCUUCGCCGGGGCAAUACAUUGCUCGUUUGCUUAAUGGGAUAGAAACAGUUUUGAAAACAAGAUUUCUUUUGCCCAAGUCUUGUCAAAGCUGAAGUUGGAUCAUGCAGAAUAGAUCCAAUCCUGAUAUGAUCAGUUGAAUUUGAAGAAAGGAGAUUGUGCCAUCUGCCAUGGCCCAAUGUACCAGAAAUGAAUGAUGCAAGCCUACGUCAGAAAGGUUCAUUCUAGAGAAUUCCGCAAGGAGGACCUGGCGUGGAAAAAGAUCCUUUUUAUACAAAAGGACUUCAGAGGAAAGUGAAAGGCCAAGGCGAAAAUUCGCAAAGGACGCUUUGAGACCUUCACAAAAAAAAGAAAAAAAAGAAAAAGAAAAAAAAGAAAAAGAAGAAAAGAAAAGAAAAGGAGAGGCCAAGGCAAAAACCCGCAAAGGGCGCCUUGAGACCAAAAGGGAUUUGAGUUGAAAACCCGUAAAGGACGGCUAAAAUUUGAAUCAAAGUAGGGCAUACAGUAGUCUUGUUACGCCUGAAUUAACAAUAAAGAAGUAUGCUACGCCGUGGGGCAUCGACAAAGUACUCCGGAUCCCCUAAAUACAUAUUGAGCUCAAAAUGGACCUCAAGAAGUUUGUAUAGAGAAGCUCGGGCUGCGAUAUCUGGGGCACCUAGUUUUCAUCUUACCCACACUGAAUUUACUAUCUUUGAUUACUAUAUUCGUUUCAAAAUAUCCUCCCAACAAACUUCCUUCUUAUUGCAUUCCUAUCUUUGAUUAACUUAUUCAUGUUGAAUUAAUUGCCUUCUUAUUGCAUUUACAAUCUUUGAUUAACUUAUUUGUUUCGAGCUGUGCUCUUACUCAAUUUCCUUCUUGUCCAUUGUUUUGAUCUUUUUCGAGCAUUUUUGUAUUGAAAUAACGAUUAAUGGACCAAUAAAACUUUCAAAAAAAGUUAUGCAUAUUACUCUAGAGGCUUCUAAAUAGCACGAGACCCUAAAUUAGGACUGUUGUUUAGAACACACCAAACCUAAGGGAUGGAAAUGUUUGAGAAAGAGGAGUCUAAAUUGUGCCUAUCUCUUCGGAUUUUCUAUCAAAGGUAUCGGUUGAACGAAGAGGCAAGAUAUUUCAUCGAUGAUACAACCUCGACAAAUAAUGAGUAAUGUCAACCUAAGCGUAAAAGGGGAUCAUUCUCAAAAAAAUAAAGCGAUACUCUGCAUUCAUACAAAUAUCGAGCAUAUACAGCUGGUCAUUACACCCGGGGAAUGGUGUAACAGGUCAAAUUGAUUGAAGAUCAUAUACCUCCGAGUUCCAGCAAGAUAGAUAGUGAACCUUAUUCCUCUGAAGUUGCAGUGGGAGGUAAAAACUUUAUGUCUCCAGGAGUUACAGUGGAAGAGACUCUGAAAUUAUAGCGGGGCAAGCUUGCCAAGCAAAAUGAGAUUGUUUCUUUGACUUUUCUAUCAAGAAUACCAGCCGAAUAGGAUAAUUGCAUAAUACGACAGUUGACGAUGUCCUGAUGAACAACGAGAAAUGAUACCCUAAGCCUUUUUUUAAAAAAAUGGAUCAUUUUCAUUUCCGCAUUCAUAUAUCAUUUAUAACACAUCUAGUUAGGAGCAUUUGAUUUAUUUCGAUCAUAGCAUCCUAAUUAUUUGACAUAAACAUCACAUCUAGUUAGGAACAAUUGAUUCAUGUCGAUCAUAACAUCCUAAUUAUUUGGCAUUAGCAUAGGCCUAUGAAACAGAUUGUAGAUCUUGUCUCCCUGAAGUUGCAGUGGGGCAAAUCGAAGACGACGAAUCCUGGCUUCCUGAAGUUGCAGUAAACCAGAUUUAAGACACCAUCCUAGCUCUCUAAAUUUGUAGUGGAGUAGGCUGAAGAUUGUAGAUCUUGUCUCCCUGAAGUUGCAGUCGAGCAAAUCGAAGACGACGAAUCUUGGCUUCCUGAAGUUACAGUGAAGCAGAUUUAAACAAGCCUUAACUGUAAUGCCCCCAUACCCGAGACCAUCUCUGGAGUCGAGCAUGAAGUGUUACUAAACUUAAUUCAUCAAUUAAACAACUUAAACAACUUAUUACCAACCAUGCAUGACAACCAAGUAUAUGCACAUCACUAAUAUCAAACAUAACAUAAAUAGCUAGAUUUAUAAGUCAGAAUCAUUAGCUCACUAAAGACCAAUAUAUUUGGCCAAAUUAUAAUAACACAUGUUAUAAAAUUAGGUCCCUAUACAUGCCACUCACUUGAUAAUUCUAGCAUAUGUGUUUAUACUGUCAAGGUGGUGGCUUGAUAGUGUGAUGCUACCUCCGACUGUCUCCAACCCUGAGCUAACCUGACAACACUAAAAGAAAUGGAAAGGAGGGGGGGUAAGCUUUAUGCUUAGUAAGCUCACAUGAAAUAAUAAUAAGCAAUUUAUUAACAUGCUUCCCACAAUAAAAUUAAGUCAUUUGUACAUUUACACAUGUUCUGGUUAAGCUGUUUUCUUGAGUAAUAGUCACUAAAUCAUUUAUAUUUAGAGUUACAGAACUCCAAAUUAAGAUCCGUAAAUUUUCCAAAACACUAGACUCAUAUAUCUUUCCACCAUAAAAUUUUCAAAAUUUUUAAUCUAGCCAAUAAGUACAGUUUAUUAUUCAAAGUAUCCCCUGUUUUGCUGUUUAACAGCUUCGACCUUUCUUCACUAAAAUUUAUUUAUCUCAUAGUAAAAAACUUGGAUGACGUUCUUGUUUGUUUUUAUUAAAAUUAAACUAAUCCAAGAUUCUAGGAAUAUAAAUUAUACCCCAAAAUUAUUUUUCUAUAAUUUUUAAAAAUUUUUCCAAGUCAGAACAGGGGAUCUCGAAUUCAUUCAGACAUUGUCUCACAAGAAUUCAAAUAUCACAUAAUAUGGAAUUCUUUUGCUUCCCCUGUUUCUUUUAUGUGAAAAUAGACUCAAUAAAAUUUAAUUACAUAUUUUAUUUGAAAUUUAAUUCAACUUCCACAAUUUUUGGUAAAUUUUCAAAUUCAUGCACUGCUGCUGUCCAACACUGUUUUACUACUAAAGUUCACUUUUGCACAAUUUCACUUAAUCCAUUCCAUUUUACCGAGGUUCUUUCAAAUAUUGAGCAUAUUGCUCAUAAAUUCAAAUAAACAUAUACUUGCACUUGUUCAUCACAUAAUCACUUUCACAUUUAUUUUCACUUAAUCGAUUUCCCGUUGAACUCAUCGGAAUAAUAACAGAUACACAACUACCUGCAUAUUUUCUCAUUUCCACACUUGUAGCUGAAGCUAUCUGGUACGCAUAGUAGCCUGCACUUAGUACUACACAUGCGACCAAUUAUCCGGUACACGUAGUAGCCUGCACUUAGUACUACACACGUGACCUAACCAUUUGAUACACGUAGUAGCCUGCACUAAGUACUACACACGUGAUCGAAGUUAUCAGGUACGCAUAGUAGCCUGCACUUAGUACUACACAUGCACCAACAAUCUGGUACACGUAGUAGCCUGCACUUAGUACUACACACGUGACCUCACAAUAGCUCAUUUGUAUCAUUUCUAUUCUGAAGGUUCAACCGGAAAAUUCCUCACUUUUCAACAUUUUACUAAAGUGUCCGUAAUCAAUUUAAAUUCAUAACUUACAUCAAAUAACCAUUUGACAGGCAGCCACAUUUCAUAUGAUAUCAAAAUAUAUUAACAUAAAAAGAAUCGAUAGAUUAUUUAUAUACGAACUUACUCGAAGUUUCGAUCUCACUAUCCAUAGUACCAAUUGUCCAUUCAUAGUAUAAUAAGACACAACUCAAAUAUCAAAUCAGCUUUUAAGAAUUUACAUAACAUAUAUCACAUAUUUCAUAAUAACAAUCUUCAUAUCAUAUAAAUAACAUUAAUGAUAAUAAUCAUCAUAUCAUAUAAAUAACAUUAUAUUACUUAAAUUGACAAUCAUGUUACCACAUUUACACAUGAACUUACCUCGAUACAAAAUAUUAGCAAUCGAGCCUAUUCCUUGUAAACUUUGUUUUUCCCUCGAUCACAACUUGAAUCUCGUUUCUCUUGAUCUAUAAUACCAAAUUAAUUUAUUUAAUACAUACAUUCAUCAAAACAGCCUUUAAUAUGAACUUUGGCAAAAUUACCAUUUUGCCCCUAAACUUUUGCAUAAUUACACUUUUGCCCCUAGGCUCAGGAAUUAAACUUCAUCCCUUAUUCUUAUGUUUUAUGACAUGCUGAUCAUUUUUCCCUUCUAUGACAACAUCAAAUUCUCACUCUAACAUGCACUUAUGACUAUUAUGUAUUUUACCGAUUAAUCCCUUUUACUCUUUUUCACUUAAAACCGAGUAGCACAAGUUGUCUAACAUAAUUUAAAACCUCAUAUUCUAUCAUAAAACACCAAAAUACACAAAUUUCACCUAUGGCUAUUUUUCCAAAUACGAACCCUAGGUUGAAUUAUUGCUAGCAUAAGCUAAAUCAAGUUACCGGGAUUCCAAAAACGUAAAGAACUUGAAAAACGGGGCAAGAACGGACUUACUAUUGAGCUUGGAAAGCUUGAAAACCUAACCAUGGCUUCCCCCAUGCUAUUUUCAGCCUCCAUAUGGAGAAGAUGACCAUUUUGUGCUAUUUUUCCCAUUUUAUUUCAUUUAAUAUGCAAAUGACCAAAAUGCCCUUACUACUAAACUUUCAAAAAAAAUCCAUCCAUGUCCAAUUUUUGUCCACAAACUUCAGAAUGGUCUAAUUACCAUUUAAGGACCUUUGAUUUAAAAACUCAUAACAAUUAAACACUUCUAACAUGUAAAACUCAACUUUUGCACUUUUUACAAUUUAGUCCUUUUGGCCAAAUUGAGUGCCCAAACGUCGAAAUUUUUGAACGAAAUUUUCAUGAAAUAAUUUGUGAAAUCAUAGACCAUAAAAAUAUAAUAAAAAUGAAAUUUUCCUCGUCGAAUUUUUGGUCCCGAAACUACUAUUUCGACUAAGCCCAAAAUCAGGAUGUUACAUUAACUCCCUAAGUCGUAGGGUAACAGGCUGAAGAUUGUAGAUCUUGUCUCCCUGAAGUUAAAGUGGAGGAAAUCGAAUACAACGAAUCUUGGCUUCCUGAAUUUAUAGUGAAACAGAUUUAAGCAAGCCUAAACUCCCUAAGUUGUAGGGCAACAGACUGAAUAUUGUAGAUCUUGUCUCCCUGAAGUUGUAGCGGAGCAGUUACAGUAGAGCAGAUUAAAAGCUACAAGGCUAGUCUCUCUAGAGUUAUAGCGGAACAGAUAAGAGCGGCAAUUCCUAUGUCUCUAAAGUUGCAGAGGAUGGGAACAAGGCUAUCUCGAAGAAGAAAAAGCACCGAAGAAGUCAAGAUCCUGCAAGACCAGACAGAUUUGCCCAUUUUAAGGUCUGUGCUCCAUUCCCGUUACACGACAAUGAGCAAAGGGAGGCAGCUGUAAUGGGCCAAAUCUACCCGGGCUCAACAACCAAAAACCAAAAUUAAAAAACAAAUAAAAAUUAAACCAAAUUAAAUGUCCACAAGUCCAAAUUACAUAACCCAAAUUUCAAACCCAAACCCAAAUUUAAAACCCAAAACCGAAUUAAUCCUAGCCCAAUACUCAAUGGCCCAACAACUAAUAGAGCCCGAUAGGGCCAAUCCUUUGAAAGUUCUUGGGAACCCUAACCCUAGCCCCAUUCGCUUGGCGCCGCAGCAGCUUCCAGCAUCCUCCAGCACUACCAUCGCUCGCACCUCCACGUCGACACAACCGUACCACCACUAUACACCGCCACGUACCUACAAGCAGACAAGCAUACAACAACAAAAUAGAGUAAAAAAAUGAGCAGAUUUUUGUAUUCUUUUUCUUUUUUCUUCAUUUUUUUUUUGCUUUUGGCUACAAAAAGCCAAAGCCAAAGAAUGUAAUCAAAGGAGGCACACUUCGCAUAUUGUAAUAGAGAAAAAGGCUAUCAAAAUCAAGAGGUGAUUUCCGAUUUAGAUCGUUGGGCAUUUUUUUAUUCUAUAUAUAUAUUUCUUUUUUCUUUUUUCUUUCUCUUCGGCUUUAUUCUUUAGUUCUUGUUGUUUUUUUAUUUGAAGACACGAAUAAAAAAGGCGAAGGGCUUACCUUUGUGAACGUGCCAUCGAAGUCCCUAGUUCCUCCGUCGAGAUUGAAGUUAUAGAGGGGAUUUUGGGGCUAAAAUCGGCGGUCCUUGAGGUAGGGAUCCAAGCGGAGUUAACGAGCGAAUAGAUCGCCCUCCGUCGAUCACUGUUUGGGGUGGUCAAAUGGCAACUAGGGUCUUUUGAGGCUUGGUGCUAAAGAGGGGUGAAAAUCGGCCAAAUGAGAGAAGGUGUGGGGGUAUUAGGGUUUAGCUUUAAUGGAGGCUUGAAGAAAUGGUCGAUUGCCUCUCAAUCCCCUGCUAUUGUGGAUUAAAAAUGAAACGGCGCCGUUUUAGGGGAAGAGACCCGCACAUUAACCCGUUCCAGGACUCGGAUCUGCGCUUUCACGCUUAAAAUGGGUUAUUUGUGCAGCAGGUCCUUCCCCUUUGCACCGCAUUGUGAUUAGCUCCCAUUCGCAUAUGAUUUGUUUUGAUUUCUUUUGAAUUUUUCCCAAAAUUUGAGCUCUUUUGCAUUUUAGCCCGUAUCUCAACGCAGUGUUUCGGGAUCGGGGAAAUUAUCAGCUUUGGUCCCUCUGAAUUCGCGCGUGUUGCGCAUGGGUCCUUAUUUUAAUAUUAGUAGUUUGUUUUAUUUAUAGAUUAGCCCUUUCAUUCUAACUGCAUUUUAAUUAGAUCCCUUUGAUUUGUAUAAUUCAUUUUUUUAUUAUUAGCUCGAUUUUUUCCAUAAAUGUUUACUUUUUUUUUGAGUUUUUAAGAUGAUUUUUCCCUCUUGACAUAAGAUCUUUAUGUCAAAUUUUUUAUCAUGUUAUUUUAAAAUGUUUUUUUGUAUAAUAUAUCCUUUAAAUGUUUUUAUUUACUAUUAAAUACAUGUAGUUCAUGAUAAAGUUAGAUUUUUAUUCUAUAUAUCUUAAUAAUUCUAUGAUUACUUCACAUAUAUUAUUUCUUUCGAAUCUAUUUGCAUAUAUAUAUCAAAACCUUAUGUAUAUAAAACAUAUUUUAUCAUUUUUUUUGUUUUUAAAAAACCUUUCAUAUUUUUUAAUAUUCUUUAUUGUAUGUGUAUGGUUUAUUUUGAUAUUUCAUUUUAAAAAAACAUUUUGCACAUUUUUUGAAUUAUUGUAUCAUAUAAUCAUUUUAAAAUUUUUUUCAUGUAAUUUUAUGUUUAAAAUAUUCAUAUAAUAUUUUAUCUUCAUAUAUCAAUAUUCAUAUAUACAUAUACAUAAUUUAUAUCGAAUUACUUAUUUAAAUCCUCUCUUAAAUAUGUUCAUUUUUUUUACUUAUAUAUAUUCUUUAUUUCUUUUAAAUCCAAUUUUGGUAUUAUAUAUAUUUUGUUUGUUUCAAAUGUUUUCCUAUAUUAUUAUUAUCCUCUUGUAUAAGCGUUGUUUAUAUUAAGCUUUUUAUUUCAUGAACAUUAAUUAUUGUGGAUGAAUAAAUCUUGCUUCAAAUUAUUUUUGUACAAUCACUAAUUUCAUAUUACAUAGUUAGUAUUUCAUAUACAUUCUUUUAAAUACUUUUAUACGGUUAUACCCAUAUAAUCUAUUUAUCUUAAAACUUUCUAACAUGUAUGCCAUUGGUUUAAAAUUUAUGUUGACAUCCAUUACUAUAUUUAUGUAUAUUAUAUAUAAUCGAUAGAUUUUGGGUUUAAAUCGUUUUGUAUAGUCUUCUUUCCAAAAUUCUUCUUAUAAUACUAUUUUUUGAAAUUCAUUUAUAUGUUAAAGUUUAUGUAUUAUUUACUCUAUAUUUUUAUUGUUUGAUGAUCUAACUCAAAUUUUUAUGCGUAUAUACAUAUUCCUAGUUUCUAUAAAAUAUUUAGAAUCAUAGCAUAUGCUAACUUUUAUGAUAUAUUUAUUUUAUAUCAUGCUAUGUAUAUUAUUAUGGCAUAUUAUUGUGUGUAUUGACUUGGUUGUGUUGAAUUGUUAUAUUACUAUUUUUGUCAUUGUAUUAUCAUAUCAAUUAUUUCCCAUGCAUGAUCGUAAUCGGGUUAUAUUUUUUAGGUUAGUUAUACCUAAUUAUUAGUUUGUUAAUUGAUUGUAUCUAAUGUGCAUAUUAUCUCAUAUCAUUGUUUUCCACUUGGUUUAUGAAAUAUGGUUUUAUAAAAUCUAAAUUUUUAUGAUUAGUUUUGUCUUAUUUUGAGUCGAAUUAAUGCGAUUUAAGCUAGUUUUAUAAUCAUUCAUGUUUUCUAAAAACCCUUUAAAACUAAGGCAAUGCUCGAUGUUUAGAAAUUCGAGUAAUCAUGCCCUACUGUGCUGGGUUUCGGUUUUACGUUGGACUAAAUAAUCGGGCAUCCAUUUGUAAUCUUCAACUUAUAAACUUUUGGAAAUCAAAAAUUUAUCGUGUUCUCAAGGGUAUAAAGGAUUGUGUCCUAUCGUGCUGGAUAUGAUGCUAUAUUCCCUCGAAACGAGAAGACUUUGACGACCAAAUCGGGUUAUUCAAAUGUUAUUAAAAGGAACCACAUUUCAAAAAUAUUUUUAAUUUUAGACAUAAGGACAGUAUUUAAUUGAUUUGGUACCAAUUUUGGGCGUAGUGAGGGUGCUAAUCCUUCCUCAUGCGUAACAGACUCCCGAACCCAUUUUCUCAUAUUUUCGUAAGACGAAAAUCGUUGUUUUAAUAAAAGGAAAUAUUUUAUUAAAAUAACCAAAUUUCUAGGUGAUUCGUUCACACCUAAACAAAAAGAUUGGUGGCGACUCCAUUUCCGUUUUUCAAAAAGUCGAUUCUCUAUUUUUUUCAUUAAAUUUAAAAUUUUAAAAAAAAUGGUUUCGACAAGUUGGAUGAAGGCACAUUUGUUCAAUGGCAGUAGCACAUUUGGUUAAUUGUCGAGGACUAUGAGCUGACUAGAUUCCUAGAUGGCACUUUGUCGAUUCCACCGCGAUUUUUGCAGUCUCCGAAGGGAUCGCUUGUUCCAAAUCCAGAUGUGUUAGCAUUUGUUCAAUAGGACAGGUUAUUAGCUUCUUGGUUGCUUUCCAUGAUUAACCAAUCUAUUUUACCUUCUUUUACAGAAGCAAGAUCCGCUUGUAAUGUUUGGAACACUGCCACACGACUUUUUACUCUGCUCACUGGUACGAAGCUCUCUCAUCUUCGUUAUGACUUGCUUACUCUCAAAAAGGCAGUUUCUCGGUCAAGGAAUACGUGGCUAUGAUCCAAAAUACCAAUGCCUUGAUAGCACAUUCUGGAAAUCGAAUCUUCGAGACAGAGAAAGUCGAGAUCCUACUUGCAGCCUUACCCCCUGAGUUUGAUGUCGUUAUCACACUCGCUUCAUUCUCGACGGAGCCUCUGUUGUUUCAACGCCUCGUUGAUGUUCUCCUCAAAUAUGAAAACUGUUAAGCGCGUAUGAUAUAGGAGGUCCCUCUUCAAGCAAAUCUUUUGGAGACCGAUCCAUCACCGGCCAUGGUGGACUCCAUUCGUGGUGGUCAACCACCAUCUAAAAGCUGUGGGAGAGGUUUCAGACCUCGCGUCCAAUGUCAGAUUUGGGGACGGUUCGGGCGCCUCGCCCAAAGAUACUACUAUCAUUACAAUCCGGAGUAUGAUGGCUCGUCGUAAUGAGUUCGGACGCCUCCUUCAGCUAAUCGUCCUGGUCCCCUCCGUGGUGCUUCUUCGAUUGAGCCUAAUGUGGGAGGUAACUCCUGCCCUACGCGUCUUUAUCUCAUCAGAAUAGGGUCUCUAACCUUUUUGUUCAAGCUGAUGGUCUUUGUAUACCCAAUAUGCAUGCUUCUGAUAUUUCUGACUCCACUGGUUCUCAUAUUAAUGCCACUCAAUAUGGCUCCAACUGUGAUGACACUGACUCUUAUAUCCUUAUGCAGGUCGGCACUACAUCCUAGUAUCCCGACUCUGGUGCUACACAUCAUGUAUGUUGCGAUGCCUCUGCGUUGCAUGACUCUACUCCUUAUUCAGGUAAAUCAUCUGUCUUAAUAAGUGACGAGACUUCCACUGCGAUCUUGUUUAUUCGUAAUUCGGUUUUACCUACGCGCUCUAAAUUCCUUCAGUUAUCUAAUGUGUUGUGCGUACCAACUAUAAGGAGAAAUUAGUUGUCUAUAUCUCAGUUUGCCACUGAAAAUGGUGUGUUUUUUGAAUUUCACUCAACUUAUUGUGUUAUUAAUGACAGCGUGACUCAGGAAAUCUUGCUAAAGGGCCACAUUCGUGAUGGGUUGUAUCACUUUUUAGUAUCGAGUUCAUCUGUUCAGACUGCUGUCGCCCCUUCUGCUGCUUACGUUAGACUUCAAAAUUAGUCAUCUGACUCUGCUAUAUUUUUUUGUGGCACAAACGCCUUGGUUAUAUGUGACGGCCCUAAUUUGACCCUAGUCAGAAAGUGGUUUCGGGACCACAAAACUGAGUCAUAAAAAUAAUUAACCGUUAUAUUCUAUGCUUAUGAUAUGUGUAAAUGCAUGUGUGAAAGUUUCAUGCUUUGAUUUUGUCAUUUGUGUGUGAAAUUUAAUAAAUAGGGCUUAUGUGAGACAUUUUUGAAAUGUGAUAGGUUAAUUUUAAAAUGGUCUAAUAAUGCAUGUUAUCAAAAAGGUGGACUUGCAUGCCAUAUUAUCCAUUUUUGUUAGUGGCCGGCCAUGAUAUUGUUUAAUAUAUAUUAUAUAUAUUUUAUAUUAACAUUUUUUUUAUUUACUAAAUGAAUUAAUGAAUAAAAGAUAAUAGAAUAAUGGUUAGUGGGAGGAGAAACCAAAGUUGGUUCAUCUUUGCUCCUCCAUUGCCGUAGCUAGAAGAGAGGAAGAAGAAAAAAUUCUUGUUUGAAUUUCGGCUUAGGUGAUUGCUUGAAUGAGGUAUGUACAAUGCAACUCUUAGAAAUUUAUGCAUAAUUAGGAUGAUUAGUUUGAAUUCUACCUAUUUCAUGGUUUGAAUUUAGGAUAUUUGGAGGUUUGAAAUUCGGCCAAGGAGCUUGAAACUCUUAGUAGAUACUUUAAUGUCGUUAGAAUGGAUAGUAAUGUUGUGUAUGAUGAGUUGUUAGUUUUUUUUAACUUGAAAGUUGAGGUUAGUAUGUGUUUAUAGGGAGAUGCCGAAUGUGGUCUUUGAAUAUGACUUAAGUAAUAAUAUUUGUGGCUUGAGUUAAUAACAUUCGGCCAAGGACUAUAUGUGCUAGCAAAUUCGGUAUAAAUGUAUAGGUGUUAAUUACCUUGUAUUCGAUGUUUUGAAGAAUAGGUAGUGGUUAAUUAAGGUGAGGUAGGGUAAAUUUUUAGUUUAGUUAAGUUUGAGCAUUCGGCAUUACUUAUAACAUUAGAUAUGAAAGUGCGAAGGGUUAGAAUUUCUUUUAAGUGAGUUAUGACCUUAAUAUGAACAAGAUAGAAUUGGUUUUAAACAUGAUUGAAUGGUUCGGUCAUCGUUUGGCAUAGGUGACACCUAUAUGAAUUUGCUACAUUUCGUCAUAAAACGGAAUUGAAUAUAAAGGCUAAGUUUGAGUAGUUAAGGCCGAAUGGGUUAUAUAUGAUAUUAAAGCAUGCAAUAAAUAUAUAUACAUGUGUAUACGUGGUUGUGCAUAAAUAUGAGUAAACGAUUAAAUUGUGACAGUCACAUAGGUAUAUAUAUGCCUUAUGUAUGUACCUUGUGUUAUAGAGACAUUCGGAUGUAUAUAUAUAUAGUUAAAUUCAUGUAUAAGAAAGCAUGGUAAGUUAUGUGAAUCUUUGUUUGUGUAUACUAAUUAGAUAUAGAUUAAAUAAGCAUGAAAUCGAGUCAUGGCAUAUUUUAUAAAAUAUAAUAUGUAUUGGAGUUUUAUAUGAUUGUCAAAUAUGACUAGUAAGAAGUAAAAUUGAGUAAGUAAUUAAACAAAUUCAUUUGUUUAAAUUAAGCUCAAGAGCAAAGAGGAUCUAAAUUAGAUAGGGGAAAGGAGAAAGCAAUCGAGUAGCCUAUCCGCAACUGUUCAAAUAUAUUCGAGGUAAGUUUUGAGUAGUCUCCUUUAAUAUAUAAUUGAUGAUGUUUUUAUAUGAGUAUAUUAGGUGAAUUGUGAUCUUUUGAUUUUUCCUUGAAUGAAGUUGUGAAAUAAAUAAUUCAUGUAUAUGACUUAUAGUCUAAUGGUCACUUGGGUUUAAGCUUGAAUGGUGAAAUGGAUAUGUGAUAUUUAUGUAUGACUUUUGAGCCGAAAUGUAAAUGAUGGUGUGCAUAUUGAGUAUUAGAUCCGAAUGUAGCAAAUGACUACUAAAGUGAUAAAUAGAAUGAGAUGUGUUAAAGUAUGACUAAAUAUGCAUGAUAUUUGGAAUUAUAUCCGGACUUAAGGUCCGCAGGCUAUAUGCUGGAAUUAUAUCCGGACUUAAGGUCCGCAGGCUAUAUGCUAGAAAUAUAUCCGGACUUAAGGUCUGCAGGCUAUAUGCUGGAAUUAUAAUCCGGACUUAAGGUUCGCAGGUUACGUGCUGGAAAUAUAUCUGAGCUUAAAGUUCCGAAGGCUUUGUGCUAGUGACUGGACUCGGGUUUUAAACCUAACAGGCGUAACGCCGGUGAUUCGAGUAAGAUUAUGAAUUCGAAUGUUCGAGGUAAACUACUAUUGAUUAUGUAUAAUACAUUAUAAUAGCCAGGUACGUAUUAUGUACUCAUAUGUGAAUUGAUUUUAAAGUGAAUUAUUAGUAUCAAAGAACAAUAUAUAUGUGUGGAUGAUUAUUGUAUCUACGAAUAAAAGAAUGACCUAUUCGGUCAAUUUCUGUCAUUAUAGGAAAGUAUGUGACUUAAAUUAAUUGUAUGAGUCAUAUAGUAGAGCAAAGUAUGUGCUGAAGAUUUUCUUUGUGUGUAUAUAUAUAUAUUCGGCUAAUUGGCUUCAUAAUUAGUAUACUUGAUUAUAUUCAGCCAAGUGAUUUAUAAUUAGAAUAUGAGUUUUGUGAUACUUAAUGUUUGAAGUAAAUGAUAAGUUUUAAAUGUUUGUAAUGCUCAAAACUUACUAAGCCUCGAAAGCUUACUCGGUUCCUAUUUCUCUGUUUUAUAGAUUUUUGAUUUUGGCCACCGACUCGGGGAUCGUCAGCAGUUCAUCAUACUAUCGACCUUUUUGGUACAUUUAUAUUUUGGACUCGAUAUGGCAUGUAUAGGUUAGGCUGAUGAUAAAGAUGUUUUGAAUUUGUAAAUAUUUUGGCCAUAUGAAAAUGGCGUAUAACUUAAAUAUCAGUAUGUAUUUCAGCUCGAUCUCUGUUUAUAUUUAUUUGCAAUGUGAAUGAGAUAAUUAAAUGUUUAGUUCGGUAAUACCUCUUAGCCUUAAUCCGGCGAUCGGAUUCGGGUUAGGGGUGUUACAUCAUCCUUCUGCUUCUGUUGUUAAAUCUAUUUUGAAUAAAUGUAAUAUUACUUCGAGUGAAAAUUGUCGAAACAAUGUUUGUUCUGCAUGUUAAAAAGGGAAGUUCCAUAAAUUGCCCUUUCCUGAUUUGACUACUAAAUACAAUGAUCUUUUUGCCUUGGUUGUCCCUGAUCUCUGAGACCCGCCUCAGUUGCUUGUGGUAAUAAUUUGUAUUAUGUGUCCUUUAUUGACAUGUGUACACGUUUUACAUGGAUUUAUCUUAUUCGACAAAAGUCUGAAGCAGUGGAUUGCUUCGUUUAGUUUUAGAAAUUAGUCAAAACACAGUUUGGGAAAUCUAUCAAACAAGUUCAAAGUGACUGGGGUGGCGAGUACCGAGCCUUUACUUCUAUUCUAGCACCUCAAGGAAUAUUUCAUCACUUGUCAUGUCCACAUACCUCUGAAUAGAAUGGAGUGGCUGAACGCAAUCAUCGGCAUAUUGUUGACACGAGCGUUACACUCUUGGCGCAAACAAUUCUCUCUAUAGAAUUUUGGGCUUAUGCAUUUUGUUGUACUCUUAAUUUGAUUAAUAGUCUUCCUACAUCGGUUCUGAACGGACAGUCUCCGUAUAAAGCUCUUCAUGGACAAGAUCCCACAUAUCAUUAUCUGCACAUAUUUUGGUGUUGUUAUUUUCCUUAUUUACGUCACAAGCAGGAUUUUUGGUCGCAAUCAUGUACGUUCUUGGGAUAUAAUUCUCAACACGAAGGAUGUCAAUGUCUCCUUCCGAAUGGUAAGAUUAUUAUUUCUCGACAUGUUGUGUUCGAUGAACAACAAUUUUUGUCUCUUCCGUCUGCCACGCAUGAUUCUAUGUCUUUAUUUGGUUCUAUGAAAAUAUUUGUUCCUCUUGUUAAGGCUAUCUUUUCUCAGCCUGUAGAGUUUUCAUCCAUUCUGCCUUUGUCUUCCCCCCGUCUGCUGCCCCACAACUGCUAUUUUUGCAGUUCCUCAGGCUUAGGUGGGUUCUGAUCGUGAAUCUCCUAGUUCUUCCUCUUUACCCGAUGAUGAUGCUGCUCCUGGCUCUGUCGUGCCUACUCUCACUAUUCAGUCCUCUCCUUCAGUUCAGGAAUUUUCGUUACCUCUGACGAAUACUCAUUCGAUGAUUACUCGGUCUAAGGCUGACAUUUUAAGCUGAAGGCUUUAACUAUUGAGGUUGUUGAGCAUAACACUAUUGAGGAGGCUUUUCUUAGCACAGAAUGGCGUGUUGCAGCUCAGGCAGAAUUUGAUGCUCUCAUUAGUAAUUCUACCUGGGAUCUUAUUCCAUUACCAUCCAAUCGCAAGACAAUCGGGUGUAAAUGGCUUUUCAAAGUCAAGAAAAACCCUAAUGACUCGGUUAGUCGCAAAAAAGUGUUCUCAAGUACUUAGGUAUGACUUUAAGAAAACUUUUAGUCCGGUUAUAAAACCUGCUACUAUUUAGGCAAUCCUGUCUGUUGCAGUUUCCAGGAGGUGGCAGCUCCUUCAAGUUAAUGUGAACAAUGCCUUUUUAAAUGACGAUCUUGCUGAUGUGGUGUUCAUGCAACAACCCCCGGGCUAUGUACAAUAUAGGUUCGAUGGCAAACCUUUAGCCUGUCAUCUGAAGAAAGCUUUGUGUGGUCUUCGCCAGGCUUCGCGUGCUUGGUUUGAUAAAUUGAAGAACUUUCUUGUUUUAAUCGGUUUUGUUAUGUCUAAAUCUGAUGCAUCUUUGUUUGUUCGAAUUACGAAUACCUUCGUUCUCUAUGUGCUUAUCUAUGUGGAUGACAUUAUUAUUACCGAGAGUGUAACUAACUGUAUCAAUAGUUUUGUUCAGCAGUUAAAUGAUGAGCUCUCACUUAAGGAUAUGGGUGAUCUCCACUAUGUCCUCGGGAUUGAGGCUACUCGUUCUUCCACAGGGCGUGUUCAUCUUUGUCAGAAAAAGUACAUCCGUGAAUUACUUAAACAGAGUUCUAUGUUUUGUGCUAAGAGUGUUCAUACUCCAAUGGUUAGCUCUUCUACUCUCUCUGAGGAUGACAGAGAUCAACCCACUGAUCCUACUGUGUACAGCAGUCUUGCCAGUGCUUUACAAUAUAUAGUCUUGACUCGACCGGAUAUUGCUUAUGCGGUGAGCCGUAUAUAUCAGUUCAUGCAUGCGCCUACUUCUGUUCAUCUGAUCACUUUGAAGAGAAUUCUAUGGUAUUUAAGUGGUACACUUGAUUAUGGAAUUGUUUUUCGUACACUUGAUUGGGGCUGGAUUUUGAUGAUCGUCACUCUACAACAGGCCACUGUGUGUAUUUUGGUCACACGUCUGUCUCCUGGUGUUCCAAAAAGUAGCCAGUGGUUUCGUGAUCUACGGUUGAGGCUGAAUAUGGAAGUCUUGCUGCAGCUACUAGUGAUGUUACUUGGCUUGUUUUGUUGCUCAAAGAAUUGCAACUUCAAAGUGUUGAUUAACCGACUGUUUGGUGUGACAAUUCUAGUGCAGUUGCCGUAACUGCUAAUCCUAUCUUACAUUCCAUGUUCAAACAUGUCUAGCUGGAUCUAUUUUUUGUCCCAAAAAAGGUCACUGAUGGCUCUCUUGAUGUUGGAGAAGUUCCUGCAUGUGAUCAAGUCACCGACAUUCUAACCAAGCUGCUUUUUGUCUCGCUUUUUACUAGAUUUCAAAAUUUUCUUCGGGUCUUGCGUAUCGGGAAAAAGGGUGAAUGUUAAGAAUAUAGUAUACUCUGUUAAUUGAGUUAGCUAGCCUAGCUGUUAGUCUUCUAUUGUUAGUUUGUUACUCAACCAGUUAGGUUGUUAGCCAUAGCAGUUACUAUAUUGUCCUAUAAAUACUAAUCUCUAUAAUGUACAUGUGAAGAUAACAAGUCUAAUACAAAAGAAUUCUUUCAAAUGCUCAAUACAUAUUUCUAUACUCAGUAGUGCUUAUUCAUAGUUUAUCGUAGUUGUUAACAAUGAAAAUAUAGAAUUAAUUGUGAAGAAAUAAAAUUAGUCUCAAUUUAGGGAUUAAUUUGAAAUUUAGGUAAAUGUUGAAUAAAAAUUGAAAUAUUCAAUGUGAAAUUGAAUUUUAUUAUAUUGAUGAAUUUUAAUUGUUUCAAUUCUAUAGCUAACAUUGUGUCAGAAACCUCGACUAAGAAAGGAAAAGAUAAAGUCGACUCAGAGUAGCUCGAAAGUUCUGGUUUGUAUUUCUAUGAUCCGAAUUUAAAUAUUAAUUGUUGUGUUUUUUAUUUAAUGUUUAUGGUAAAUGAAUGAGGUGAGUAAUUAGCAUUUUAAUAUUGAAUUGAAUGUAUGUGAAUUUAUGAUUAAUGUGAUAAUUGAAUAUUGGAAAAUUGUGGCAUUUGAAAAGUGAAUUGAAACCCUAUUUUUAUUCCAGGCUAAGUCAGAUAUAAAUGGCAUGCCAUAGAUUGGAAGAGUUCAAGGAUUAUUUCGACCUUGAGUCGAUGAGAUACUUGGUGUCAAUCUAUUACUUCAAAUUAAUUCGAUGAGGGAUUGUGUACCAAUUUACUUCGGUUUAGUCGAUGAGACACUGAGUGUUAAAUUAUUACUUCGAAUUAUCCGAUGAGACACUGGGUGCCAAACUGGUGUAUUUUGGUUGCAUCCGUGUAUCCGUCCAAGUUCGAGUUGUGUUAAUAGAGGUAAUUAAAUGAAAUGAUAUUGUGAACAGUGUAAUAGGCCCAUUUCGCCCGGGCUCACACAAAAAACAAAAACCAAAAAAAUAAAACCAAAAUAAUUUAAAGGUCCAGAGUCCAUUUACACCCACAUUUUAAUAGCCCAAAACAAAAAUAAAACAUCAGUCUAGCUUACAAAACAAUGACCCAAAUUAAACCCAAAGUCCAAAAACCAGACCUAACCCAAAAGAAAUACAAAGCCCAAAUGGCGCAGGAUAUUUGUAAGCAGAAACCCUAAGGGUUCCUUUCCCUUUGCACCGCAGCUUGCUAGCUUGGAAACAGCCUCCACACCCAUAAACGGGUCCUCCUUCCGUACGACUAUCACCACAAUGGAACCUGUGAGAAGAAAUAACAGAAACCAUAACAAAAGCCAACAAAUGACAGCAAGAAAAUAGAAUUUUAUUUUUCUUUUAUUUAUGCUGUAAAUCGGCUAUAAAAAACCAUCAUUUGUACUGUAAAUAGAUGACGGACGCAUAUACCAAAGAAAUCAAAUCGAAUUAGCAGAAUUUUGCAUUUAUUUUUUCAAUUUAUCCUGCUUUUGUUUGAUUUUGAGUGAAUUUUGCUUGGUGAUAGCAAAAAUAAAAAGGUUUUGAAACCCCUUCCAUUUUACGGAGAUCUAUCCCUCUUAUUUUCUAAAAUAGAUUUCAAAUAAUUUUCCUCUAGAUCUUUUUUUACCUUCUUCUAUUUUUGUUAAUGUGUAAAAAUAAAGAGAGGAGGGAAAGGGAAAACGCUUACCAGGCCUGCGUGCGCGCUGUAAGCCACCAGAAGUGGAGAUGGUCUGGCGGCAGCAUGAGGUUUGGGCAAAACCCUUGCAGAGAAGGUUAACAACUUACAG